AGAGUUUGAUCCUGGCUCAGGAUUAACGCUAGCGGCAGGCCUAAUACAUGCAAGUCGAACGGGAUUUCGGGUAGCAAUAUCUGAAUGAGAGUGGCGCACGGGUGCGUAACACGUAUGCAACCUACCUAUGACUGGGGGAUAGCCUUCCGAAAGGAAGAUUAAUACCGCAUAAAGAUCAGGAGAAGCAUUUCUUCAGGUCCAAACCUCAGGGGGUCAUAGAUGGGCAUGCGUCCGAUUAGCUAGUUGGUGAGGUAACGGCUCACCAAGGCUACGAUCGGUAGGGGGUCUGAGAGGAUGAUCCCCCACACUGGUACUGAGACACGGACCAGACUCCUACGGGAGGCAGCAGUAAGGAAUAUUGGUCAAUGGAGGCAACUCUGAACCAGCCAUGCCGCGUGCAGGAAGACAGCCCUAUGGGUCGUAAACUGCUUUUAUUGGGGAAUAACCUCCUGUAUGUAUACAGGACUGAAUGUACCCAAGGAAUAAGGAUCGGCUAACUCCGUGCCAGCCGCCGCGGUAAUAC
This 523-nucleotide ribosomal RNA is filed under the name uncultured bacterium. RNAcentral's name for it is "bacterial SSU rRNA". It matches the Rfam family "Bacterial small subunit ribosomal RNA", at positions 8 to 526 of the family's 1533-position model. The record is from RNAcentral.